RNAcentral lists this ribosomal RNA (180 nucleotides) under uncultured Glomeromycotina. Its description in RNAcentral is "partial small subunit ribosomal RNA". The record is from RNAcentral. Lineage: Eukaryota; Fungi; Glomeromycota.
UCGGUUGGGCGGUCCGCUUAACGGUGUGUACUGCUGGACCGGGUUCUACCUCUUGGUGAGCCGGCAUGCCCUUCACUGGGUGUGUCGGGGAACCAGGACUUUUACCUUGAGAAAAUUAGAGUGUUCAAAGCAGGCCUACGCCCGAAUACAUUAGCAUGGCAUAAUAAAAUAGGACGUGCG